CUACUUCUCUGUAGUGACCAGCAGGGGGCGACUCCUCUGCUCCCAUAGACGUCUAUGAGGAAAUGACUCUACUUCUCUGUAGUGACCAGCAGGGGGCGACUCCUCUGCUCCCAUAGACGUCUAUGAGGAAAUGACUCUACUUCUCUCUUGAUUUAUUCCCUCAGUAAACAUUGUAAACAUGAGUUUAUGGUCUCAGUCUCUAGUUUAAGUCUUCUUCAACACAACAUGAUGUUCAUUUAGUGACUGAUGGUCCAUGUAGAGUCAAACAGACCAUAAAGCAGAGGACGCUUUAGGACAGGUCUCUAGCAGAGACGUAUACGCCGUCUCUACGUCAUUCUCACUUCACAAGACAUCCACAAACCGAUGGAACCAGAGAGCUUAGAUGUGAUAAUAAAAGUCUUGUGUGUCAUUUUCAGCGUAGCAUAGCAUGUGGCGCUGCCACAGCAGAGCCACAUGCUUCUGAAGGUGAACGUGAAGCACGAAGACAUGAAUCCUCAUCAGCUUACUGCUGUCAGCAGAUGCAUGAUGGGAAAUCCCCCAUCUCAGCCCUUCCUGGACCUCUUCCGAGGAGCUCUACAGGGGUCUGUAAUUGGUUACCAGUAUCAGGAGGAGGAGCACGUCCUCGCUGCCUGUGAAGGCUGAAUGUUUACAGACCUCCAUCAGGGAGCGCUGCCAUCCUCCAUCAGCCCCUUAAUGUGGAGGGAAUCUCCCCAAGCACUGCAGACACGCUUUAAUUCUGACUCAUGGACGUUGUCUUGUCUGUGAAGACGACAGUGGCGCAGUGGUAGAGAGGGAGUGCCGGGAACCGCAAGGUUGGCGGUUCAAGCCCCAGCUGCUCCACGUCCAGUGUCCAAGUGUCCCUGAGCAAGACACCUACUUUCUCCCCGGGGGUUAAAAAUGUAAUGUAAGUCGCUUUGGAUAAAAGCGUCAGCUAAAUGACCUGUAAUCAUUAAAACAUGUGUCACGCUUAGGAGGGUACCUGAGCAGGUAGUACACAGCGUACCUGAGCAGGUAGUACACAGCGUACCUGAGCAGGUAGUACAGAGCGUACCUGAGCAGGUAGUACACAGCAUACCUGAGCAGGUAGUACAGAGCGUACCUGAGCAGGUAGUACACAGCAUACCUGAGCAGGUAGUACAGAGCGUACCUGAGCAGGUAGUACAGAGCGUACCUGAGCAGGUAGUACACAACGUACCUGAGCAGGUAGUACAGAGCGUACCUGAGCAGGUAGUACACAGCAUACCUGAGCAGGUAGUACAGAGCGUACCUGAGCAGGUAGUACACAACGUACCUGAGCAGGUAGUACAGAGCGUACCUGAGCAGGUAGUACACAACGUACCUGAGCAGGUAGUACACAGCAUACCUGAGCAGGUAGUACAGAGCGUACCUGAGCAGGUAGUACACAGCGUACCUAAUCCUUGAGUGGACCAUCUGCUCAUUGGUCCUGAGAGCAUCCUCCUCGUGUCAGUAGCAGGUUAAACGAUGACUCAGACAGGUGUGUGUUUGUACCUCAGUGUUCCUCAGUAUGCAAAUAUGUGAGCGUGUGAAUGAUUCAGAGAUGUCAAGUGAGCUCAUGAAUAUUAAGCAGGACGCUUGUUGAGCUGUGAAUAUUGCAUGGAGAGUGAAAGUGAGCAGAGACAGGAGCUGGUUGGCUGUGAGAGGACAUUAGAUAACCCAUGGACGUACUUUGAGAAAAACAUUGAUUGAUAGAAAUCAGUAUAAUUAGAAAUCUGCGUCUGUGAAGAAGAAGCUUCUGUAGAGCUGAAUAGAUGCUGCAAAGAAAACAGACGUCUGUGAUGGAACAUUAAGUCCACACACACACACACAUAGUGAGCCACAGAGCUGCAGGUGGUUGAGUCUGUUUGGGUUUAAAGUAUCUGUCUGCUGAGGCUCAUUAGACAUGUGACUCUAUCAGGAUGAAGACAGUAAGUGUGUGUGUUUUUCUGUGUUCUUCCGUCUGACUGGAGAAUGUGCUGCGUGUUUCUGUCCAACCGUCGUUUUUGUGUGUCAGGAAUCAGGAAUCAGGAAACAUUUAUUGCCAAAAUAUGUCAAACAUACAAGGAAUUUGUCUUGGCGGUUGGUGCGUGACAGUAGACAGUGUAACAAUAGACAACAAGACAGCAGUGCACAAGUAAUAAAAUGAAGUAAAAUGAAGUGAAAUGAAGUAUAUAAAACAAGUAUAAAACAAGAAUAAAGUUAAAGUUAAAAAUUUAAAAUAUUAAAAAAGUUAAAAAAUAUUAAGCAUAAAGUGCACUAGCGAACAAGUAGCAAAGUGACGAGUGACGACAAAGUGAGAAAUGACAGUUAAAGUGACAUGUGCAGUGUGAAGGGGAGUGACCGGUGGAGUGUUAGAGUCAGUCAGUGGGGGACCGGCUCUGUUGAUGAGCCCGACUGCUGACGGGAAGAAACUGUUGGUGUGGCGGGAGGUCUUAGUCCUGAUGGACCUCAGCCUCCUGCCAGAUGGAAGGGGCACAGACAGGUUUUGUCCGGGGUGAGAGGGGUCGGCUACCAUCUUUUUAGCUGCUUCAGAGACCUGGAAGUGAACAAGUCCUGCAGGGACGGCAGAUUGGAGCCGAUCACCCUCUCUGCAGAGCGGAGGACACGCUGCAGCCUGCCCUUGUCCUUGGCUGUGGCUGCAGCGUACCAGACGCUGAUGGAGGAGCAGAGGAUGGACUCCAUGAUGGCCGUGUAGAAGUGGA
Long non-coding RNA from Gasterosteus aculeatus aculeatus (three-spined stickleback), 2699 nucleotides. The record is from Ensembl. Lineage: Eukaryota; Metazoa; Chordata; Actinopteri; Perciformes; Gasterosteidae.